ACAUGUCAACACAGACUAAGUUUUUUUAACUUGUUCUGCUGUUUGGAUGUUGGAGGCUUGCUGGCAGUCUUUUGUCAGCUCCUUUUAAAUUCAUUAGCAGAGACCUUGCAUAACUGGCUUCAGUUUGAUAAGAUUGAACUGCUGCUAGGGAUCCAUGCAUAACGUUCUCAGCUUCUAACUGUCCAUUGACUUGGACUGUCUCUUCUGAGGCAAACAAUCUGACAAC
RNAcentral lists this unclassified non-coding RNA (226 nucleotides) under uncultured Clavaria. Its description in RNAcentral is "sequence contains ITS2". Lineage: Eukaryota; Fungi; Basidiomycota; Agaricomycetes; Agaricales; Clavariaceae. The record is from RNAcentral.